Long non-coding RNA from Leopardus geoffroyi (Geoffroy's cat), 1904 nucleotides. RefSeq lists it as uncharacterized. Lineage: Eukaryota; Metazoa; Chordata; Mammalia; Carnivora; Felidae. The record is from RefSeq and is a predicted model, not a curated record. The transcript is spliced from 2 exons.
CCUGCAGUACAUCCCCUGCUGCCUUAAGAGAUGAUUAGUGGCUGCUUGUCAGUAGAUGUAGCUCAGUGGUGUUUUAAUAUCCAAAUGUCCUCCCCCCCCCCCAACGAGGAAGGCUGUGGCCUGUUGAAGGCAUUUCACACAGAGAGCCGUGAUUGCUGCGGCAAUCAUUUCCUUCAACAGCCAUUAAGACACUUCUGAAUGUGUUUUAAAAAAGCAAAAGAAGAGGAAAGGAGGGCGGAUGGGGGGUGGCAGGAGUCCUUCCGAUUUCCUGGCAAAUAUCAAUGUUCCCAGAGUGAACUUUAAUUGGAUGGGAUUUUAACAUCAGCGUGUUUGCGGUUAUUAGCGCUUUGUGGGUGCCCACCUUUCAUCCUGAGCCCAGCCUGGAGGUGCAGGGGCAGAGGGGGCGGGGUGGCAAACGCAUCACGCCCGCCCCAGAGACCUCAAGAUAAGGUGGAGCCCAGCUCUCCUAGGGGCGGUUCAUGGCUGGGCUGGCCAUCGGCAGCCUCUGGUCCAAACAGAUGUUGUCUUAAGUCUUCCCGAGUAAAGGAACCUUCUCAGUUCAGCUCCUUUGCUUGGUGGGGCGGCCAGUUCUCUGGCAGGGCCUGUGCUCAGCUCCGUGGUCCAUUUACCAAAAAGGUAGGCAGGUAUGGUUGUGGCUUCAUUCAUUCAUUCAACAAAUACCUAUGGAGGGUCUACCACGUGCCAGGAGCUCUGGAUGUUAGGGUUGCAGCAGGGAGGGUUGGAGCAUAUGACCAGCUUGUGCAGCACCAGCAACGACAAACCAGCACGGAUGUGGAUCGAGGGGCUGAGGCAGGGUCCCGGAGACCUGGUGGGUCCGACCCUUUAGGUGCUGGACCAGGGAGGCCAGGGGAAGCCUGAGGAAGGGAGGGGCAGCCGGGGCUGCAGCGUGGGGGGCACUCAGGAUAGAGGGUGCUAAUUGGUCUGGAAGUAUUUCAACAUCUUGCCAAUUGUCCUAGUCCCAUUGGUAUUUGGAAGCUGAAAAAAAAAAACUCCAGACGCCCAUAUGGAGUCUGCUUCCUCACAAGCACCAGGAAGCAGUCAGCCUGUCUUCUCCAUGCUUGUAGUGGGGAUACGAUUAUAAAAACCUGCCCCAAGGUGGGGGGGGAGCACCCGGGUGGUUCAGCCAGUUGAGUGUCUGACUCUCGAUUUUGGCGCAGGUCGUGAUCUCACAGUAGUGAGAUAGAGGCCUGUUAUGGGUUCCGUGCUGAGUGUGAAGCCUGCUUGGGAUUCUCUCUCCCCCUGCCCCCGUUCCCCCUCCCGUCAAAAAAAAAAAAAAAAAAUCUUGCCGCAAGUGAAACCAGUAACCAAAGAGUUAAGGGACUAAUCCCAGCACCAGACUAAUAAGACAGCUGCAACUUUUUACCCAGACUGUUUUUUGUUUGCUGUUAAUUUCCCUGACCGUCCUUCCCUGAGGUGGAUUUGAGUCUUGCUCUCCCGUCUCCUUGUCUGGCUGCGUUACGAAUAAACCCUUUCCCUGCCGCGACGCUCCGUGUCUCAGCGACUGGCUUUGCUGUGCAUCGGGCGGACCGACGUGGGUUUGGUUGUGAAACCAGCGGCAGCUCCGUGUUCUGUGCUAGGCCUCCGUAGCCUCCAUGAAAAAUGAGGAGACACGUUUCAGGCCACCGAGGCACAGCGGUUGUUCAGCAGAACCCUUUGGUCUUCACUUACGGCAAGACUGAGCGAUAUUCAAGUGUGUCUACACCAUUCUAGGUGCAUCGAGACGGCUGUCACGAGCGUCCUAUCAGCCCGCCUUCAAGGAGAAUCAUCUCAAGGGGCGCCCGGUGAGCUCGGUGAAACAACUGAAUCUUGAUCUCGGCGUUGUGCGUUCCAGCCCCACAUGGGGUAUAGAGAUUACUUAAAUAAAUAAAACUUUAAAGAAACCA